RNAcentral lists this ribosomal RNA (489 nucleotides) under uncultured Bacteroidota bacterium. Its description in RNAcentral is "bacterial SSU rRNA". It matches the Rfam family "Bacterial small subunit ribosomal RNA", at positions 891 to 1382 of the family's 1533-position model. Lineage: Bacteria; Pseudomonadati; Bacteroidota. The record is from RNAcentral.
GCUCAGAAACUCAAAUGAAUUGACGGGGCCCGCACAAGCGGUGGAGCAUGUGGUUUAAUUCGAUGAUACGCGAGGAACCUUACCUGGGCUCAAAUGUAUGUUGACGUAUUCUGAAAGGGAUACUUCUUCGGACAAUAUACAAGGUGCUGCAUGGUUGUCGUCAGCUCGUGCCGUGAGGUGUCGGGUUAAGUCCCAUAACGAGCGCAACCCCUAUCAUUAGUUGCCAUCAGGUCAAGCUGGGGACUCUAAUGAAACUGCCUACGCAAGUAGUGAGGAAGGUGGGGAUGACGUCAAAUCAGCACGGCCCUUACGUCCAGGGCUACACACGUGCUACAAUGGCCGGCACAACGGGAAGCGAGUUCGCGAGGACGAGCGGAUCCCUCAAAGCCGGUCGCAGUUCGGAUUGAAGUCUGCAACUCGACUUCAUGAAGCUGGAAUCGCUAGUAAUCGUGGAUCAGCCAAGCCGCGGUGAAUACGUUCCCGGGCCUU